This 428-nucleotide ribosomal RNA is filed under the name Acidobacteriota bacterium. Its description in RNAcentral is "Acidobacteria bacterium partial 16S ribosomal RNA". It matches the Rfam family "Bacterial small subunit ribosomal RNA", at positions 355 to 776 of the family's 1533-position model. Lineage: Bacteria; Pseudomonadati; Acidobacteriota. The record is from RNAcentral.
UGGGGAAUUUUGGACAAUGGGGGAAACCCUGAUCCAGCCAUCCCGCGUGUGCGAUGAAGGCCUUCGGGUUGUAAAGCACUUUUGGCAGGAAAGAAACGUCAUGGUUAAUACCCCGUGAAACUGACGGUACCUGCAGAAUAAGCACCGGCUAACUACGUGCCAGCAGCCGCGGUAAUACGUAGGGUGCAAGCGUUAAUCGGAAUUACUGGGCGUAAAGCGUGCGCAGGCGGUUCGGAAAGAAAGAUGUGAAAUCCCAGAGCUCAACUUUGGAACUGCAUUUUUAACUACCGGGCUAGAGUGUGUCAGAGGGAGGUGGAAUUCCGCGUGUAGCAGUGAAAUGCGUAGAUAUGCGGAGGAACACCGAUUGCGAAGGCAGCCUCCUGGGAUAACACUGACGCUCAUGCACGAAAGCGUGGGGAGCAAACAGG